CUACGGGGGGCAGCAGUGGGGAAUAUUGCACAAUGGAGGAAACUCUGAUGCAGCAACGCCGCGUGGAGGAUGACACUUUUCGGAGCGUAAACUCCUUUUAUAUAGGAAGAAGAUGACGGUACUAUAUGAAUAAGCGCCGGCUAACUCCGUGCCAGCAGCCGCGGUAAUACGGAGGGCGCAAGCGUUACUCGAAAUCACUGGGCGUAAAGAGCGUGUAGGCGGAUUAAAAAGUCAGAAGUGAAAUCCUAUAGCUUAACUAUAGAACUGCUUCUGAAACUCUUAAUCUAGAAUGUGGGAGAGGUAGAUGGAAUUUCCGGUGUAGGGGUAAAAUCCGUAGAGAUCAGAAGGAAUACCGAUUGCGAAGGCGAUCUACUAGAACAUUAUUGACGCUGAGGUGCGAAAGCGUGGGGAGCAAACAGGAUUAGAUACCCGCGUAGUC
RNAcentral lists this ribosomal RNA (439 nucleotides) under uncultured bacterium. Its description in RNAcentral is "partial 16S ribosomal RNA". It matches the Rfam family "Bacterial small subunit ribosomal RNA", at positions 339 to 795 of the family's 1533-position model. The record is from RNAcentral.